AGGGGAAGCAAGAAACCCCUCUGUCCCACACAGUGUGUCACAGAAUGUUAUGUUAGCUAUGGAUAAUGUAAACGUGUUUCAAAUUUUGUAGGACUCUUUGCAUGCUGAGUUUAAAGAAUUAGGCAAAAGAAGUGGGGAACCACCGAAGGCAAGAGUCAUGAUGUGACUUAAGUCUUAGAAGGGUCAUCUGAGCUACUAAGCAUGCACUGUGCUCUGCUGUGCUAAUCCACCUGAAGACUACUUCACCGCACUGUGCUGCGUGGGCCAU
This 268-nucleotide long non-coding RNA is filed under the name Mus musculus (house mouse). Its description in RNAcentral is "ilncRNA-EC54". The record is from RNAcentral. Lineage: Eukaryota; Metazoa; Chordata; Mammalia; Rodentia; Muridae.